GGUGGGUGUCGCGGCCCAUACAAAUUUGAUUGCAUAUGAGAAAUGCAGUAUAGCUAGGAAGUGACUCCUAGGUCGUCUCUCAAGGACCAAAUGUGGUUCGAGAAUUAGGUCUAACACGAAGUGGGGGGGUUUGUGAAAGGAUUGUGAAUGCGGAUAAACUAAAUUAAAACACGGAUGCAACAUAAAUGCAAAAACAAAAUUGCAAACAUAGAAGUAAAAUCAGAGCAGCAUAAACAUAAAGACAGUCCAGGAAUCUCAAAGAAACAAUGUAAUUUUUAUUAAUAUUAAUGACCAACCCGACUAACCUAAGCUAACAUGACAACUACAUUAACGAAAACUAAUGUGAUACAUUUAAGAAACAAUUGAUAAAUCAACAUUGCAAUUAACGAUAUUAAAAGGAAUUAUUUAAGCCAAAAGUGAAAUUCUCAUUAUAUUCAAAUAAAUUAAUAAAAGAAAAGAAAAGCCAAAAUAAAAGAAAUGCAUGCAGCGGUAAUUGCAAAAAGAGAUGGUAAAUAUUGAAAUCUAUGUGUUAGAAUUAUUGGUUAGUGUGUGUGAGUUCUGUGUGAGCUGUGUGUAUCUUAAUGGUAGAAUAAUUAUUAAGUCUAUCUAUGUUAGGGUAGUUAGAAGGACUAAAGUAGGUAGUAGUGUAUUGGGUUAUCUAUAAUGAUUGUACCUAGCAGUCUAGGACAGUCUUUUGACCUUCUAUCUCCCUAUUGUAUUAACUCUUUAUCAAUAUAAAUGGUAGAACAUGAGGAGGGUCUAUAAAGCCCUUUAGAAGUAUAUUUUCUCUGUAAUUAACCUCAACACUAUGAAUACUAUAUUAGUAAAAUAAAACAUUCAAAAGGAGAAUUGUAAAAACAAUAAUUUAUCUCGGUAAAGCAUAAAGUUAAUAAAGAUAAAUCAAUAAAGCUCAAUGAACAAACAAACCGUACAGUAUUAUAAUUGAAAUUAAAAUCAACUUCCUUAAAAAUAAUAAGAAAAAGGUGAGCUUCCCUUUGGUCAAACCACUGUCCACUUCUCACUUCAACCAUAGCCCUCCAUUGCCAAAUACCUAGUCUCCCAUGCUCCAAAGAAAAUUCAGAAUAUUAUGUGCAUGUGACAACUUCCCCUCUAGCAAUCCCGAGACAAUAGUGUAUGCCCCCCUUUUCUCCAUGAAAAUUAAAAUGUUCAUUCCCCUGCUGCACCGUUUCUCCCAUAAACAAUAAAUAAAAAAAAAACUUUCCUUCACUAAAGAAAUCCAAUCAACGUAAUAAUACUUCAAAAAGAAAAGAAAUACGUGACCAUGAAAAUGAAAUAACCGAGCACUCAACAUUCAUGCUUCUUCCACGGUAACCUUCUUUGCUUUAAAAAUGAAAAUAAAAAUCUUUAGCUUCCAUGAAAUAAAAAUGAAGAUGUGCCUUUUUAAUUUAAAACGAAAUCAAAGCUUAAAACUAAAAGUGCUUCUCUCCAUUUCAUCCUUGCAUCUCAACAACGUUCAACAAAAGCUAAAAACUAAAAAGAAAGUUGCGGCUGUAAGCACCUUGAUGAUGAACAUUAAGGGAAAUAUAAAGCUAUCAAACAGCAAAAAUCAAAUAAACUCGUUCCUAGGUUGCAUCUGGACCGUUCCUCUUCAUUCAACCAAAAUCACCCAAGUGUGAAAACAUGUUCAUAGAGAAAAUGUUGCUCUAAAAAAAAAAUAACGUUCAGCCAAAGCCUCCCAGCAGAAAAAUUGACGGCUAUGUCUCCCAAUCCCAAGGCCAUGAGUCACUAAAAAUAGGGUGGGGUCCACCCAAUUGAAAAACCCUAGGUGCCAAGUCAUCCUACUCUACAAUUGGGCUUAGUCUACACUACCAAAAAUUGGCCCAAAAUUACAAAACUUGGUUUAAAAAGCCUAAUCUACUAAAUUAAAAUUUAAUUAAUUCUAAAUUGUCUUUGUGGAGAGUCUUGAAUGAAUUCAUGUCACUCCAAAUGUUCCAAAUAGUAUUUCCAAAAUUUUCCCUGAAAAUAAUAAUGCAAAUAAUUAGCUCAGAAAAUUCAAAUUAAUUAAAAUUAGAAUUUUCCGUCAAAUUAAGCACAAUUAGGAGAAACGGAAAAUAUCGGACAAUUAAGCUCAAUUCCCUGAAUAAAUUCGGUACAAUAAACUAAGUGAAGUCGAGAAAAUAUCGACUCAUCAAUAUGCGCGUAUAUAAUGACAUGGAUACUGCUUCCCAGAGAAGAUGAUCACACUUUGCUUACAGAUGAAGACAUAUACCUUGUUUGUGCUUUAUCAUCCGGAAUUCAAAAGAAUUAGGUGUUUGUUGUUCGUGAUCACAUGAUGAAGUUCACUAGAAGUAAUGGAUUAUGUCUACUGAUGAGUGCAUAUUUAUGCCCACAUUUAUUCUUUAAAAUUAAAUUUUUUUGAUGAAAUUCAUGUUCUUAAAUGGUUGAUUUUAAGUGAACUUGUGAUGAUUGAAAUUAUUGGGUUUGAGAAUUAAAGAGACAGAAAAAGUGAGUUUUAGGGCAUAAAUUAUUCUUGGAUGUCAUAAUGUUUGUUGAUGCAGCUGAAAUUAGAGUUUAAUUGAUUGAAAGCUUGGAGAAAAGUGGUACAAAUUGCAAUUUAAGGCCCAACAAAUUUUGUUUGGAAAGUAAUAUUCAAAUAGGCCAAACAGUUAGUCUUUCCACUUGCACCCCUGUGUUUACAAUGAUACACAUCUCUUUUCUAAACCAGGCCCAACAAAUAGGCCCAGACAGUAAGCUUUUCCACCUACAAUCCCUAAGUUUCCUAUUCCUACCCCUCCUAAAUCAGACUCCAUCAGAUGUUGCCACGUGUCGCCAAUCCACCACACACACAUUCAGCCAAUGACUUGCUGCCACAUCACCAUCCCUGCCACGUCAUCAUCUCCUUCAACCCUUCUCCAGAAACCUAAUCCUCCUCUGCACCGCCGCACACUCUGCCACUACCCAACCUUACAUGAGCCACCACUACUGAAACGCCAUGGUCUCGCCGUCAAUCGCCCAAGGCCGACAUUGCAUAACAACCACCUUCAUCUUCUUCGCGCUACCACCAAUUGCAAAACCUAGACGUGAGUUCUCAACAGAAAUCGCAAAGCGCGAAUCGCAUCAGCCCCAGAAUCGCGAUUCCUUCGUCCUCCACCACCAAGCGUGAUUCGAUCUCCUUCCAAACCUGCAUCAAAGCUAGAUCUGCAAAUAAAGCAGAACCCAAAUUCAAGAACAAUCGCGAAUCGCACACCAUUCAAGCCGCCACCUAUUAACGGAUUGGCAAGCGUACCAAAUCGUUCAAGAAAUAAUAAAUGGUAAGUCCAAGUAUCGUUUCCCAAGAGACUCGAAAGGCCUUAUCGUUCGUGUGAAUUAAGAUCGUAAGACUUGAAAAUAAAACUUAAUUAAUUGGGUAUGAGAACAAAAUAUAAACAUGCAAAAGAGAUAGAUUCAAUUGACGAGAAGAAAACGAUGGAUGAAUGGAGUUUUUGGGGGUUUACAAUUUCAUCUUAUUCGCUCUCUCUUAUUUACUCCUCUUGAUUUAUUUGCUUGAUUAACUAAUUGUUAUGAAACUUUCUUGGCCUACCCUUAACCCGAUCCCUCAGCGAAAAGAGCCUAUUACUAAUUACUAGCUUGCUAUCCCUAGCUUCCCCUAGCAAUUAAUAAUGCAUUAUAGAGCAGAAGUGAAAAACAAUUGAUCGUCCUACCCCUAUCCCUAGGUGCUAUUGCUUAAUCAAGGAAUCACUCACCAGUUCAUGACAUUACUAUACGUCCUCGUAUCAAUAAAGACAAACAACAGUUAUCGAAUGAGUUAAACGAUAAAAGCAUUAAGCAUAGAUGAGAACCCAACAAUUAAUAAUCAAAGCAUAUGGAAACCAUAUAAAUAAACCAGAGUUUCAAUAAAAGAGAGUAUCAAAAGAUUACAUUGUUUCCCCCAACAACAAUGGGGUUUAGUUCACCAUUGUCAUGGUGAAUCUAGAUGAAAAAUGGAUGAAGAAUGGAAAAGCAAACCCUAGAUAAGUUGAAAAGGAGCCUCAACAUCCAAGAGAUCCUCUCCAGAGAGUGAAAUUAGGUCUGGCCGCCCCCUUUUGUCAAAAGAAUGAGAUUGACAUCGCAACAGGCCCAAGCCCAGCAGACAACCGCCCGACGUCACACUUGUUUCGCCCGGCGGUUUCCCUCAAACCGCGCGACCGCCCGGCGGUAGGCGUCUACCGCCCGGUGGCAGGGGUCUACCGCUCGGCGGUUUGCCUCUAAUCGCAAAUCUGCCUGGCUGCACCGCCUAGUGCCACUCCUCGCGCUGGACCGCCCAGCGGUGUAAUUUGCCGCCGGGCAGUACGUCGACUCUUCAUUCCUUCAUUUUUCUUCCCUUUUCUAGAGUCUAAGACCUUCAUCUUCAAAUCCAUUCUUCAAUUUCUCAAAAAUGCUACAAAACAAUGCAAAACAAGCAUAAUAUCGUUUAAAAUAGCUUUUGACUCUCUACAGACUCAUUUAUUGAGUUUUGCUCGAUUCUAAGCUCAUUCUAAGCAGUAAAGGGAGUAAUUUGGUCUAAAAUGACAUAUGAAAAUAAUUGUUUUUCAACCUUCAUCACCACCCCUGCCAUGUUCAUCCUCCUUCAGAGAUUACGAAACCUACAAGGAAGCAAAGAACCAGAAACAGAUUCCCAAGCGCGACCUCCUUGUCAUCGUGAGCCUUCAUGGCCGUUGCGAUGCCAACAUUACGAGAGCCGCUGCAAGCCCUCCGUUACUCUCCUCCAUUCGCGACCUGCAAGCAAAGAUUGGGAAACCAGAAACAACCACAAACCCUAACAGGAAGAAGCCUCCGCGAGUCCAUUUCACCAUCACGGCAACAACCAUCUUCUCCUUCGAGAGGAAUUCCUUUCCUUCACGACGCAACGUUGAGCAAUUUUCCCAAUUCACAGAAACCCUAACUUUUGGGUGGGGGAAGGGUUGCCACGUGGCGGGCUCUCAUUGGACGGUCCUUUCUGGUUAAAGCUGGUCAAACAUGUCUUCUCUGGUCAAAGUCUGGUCAACUAAGGGGCUCUUUUGCAAUUCUGAAGAAUUCUUAGGGGCUGAAGUGCAGAUAAAGGAAAUUUCAGGGUUGUUAUGUAAUUUUGGAAAAUUCAGAAAAGCUAAAAGAUAAAAUUCAGUUGUUGAAUUAAUUUAAUUGGGGAAUAUCAAUAGAAAAUAUCUUCCAAAUAAUGUUAUAAUUAUCUAAAUAUUUUAGUUAUUUGGAAGAUAUAAGAUAAAAGAUUUUAUCAACUGAAUAUUCAGAGUCCAAGCCCAAUCAAACUCUAUAUAAAGAGACCCAAGAGACUUCAUUGAUAGACCAUUCCUUUCUCUCUUAUUUCAUCAUUAUUCUACUCCAUUCAUGGAGAGUUAAGCAUCUAGGGCUAUUCUACUCCAUUCAUGGAGAGUAAUGCAAUUGUUUAUUUUGAUUAUUGAUUUAAGUUGCUCUCUCUAUGUCUUUCAUCUCUCUAUCAUAUUAAAAGCAAAUAUUUUUGCAUCAUUAUGUGUUUGAAUCUACAUGCAUAUUAAUUAUAUGAGUUCUAGGGUUUCUAGGUUUAAUUGAGAAUCUACUUUGAUUUAAUUGAGGAACUUUCAUAUGAUUAAAUGAUUUUUACUAUCAAUUGAGAAUGUACUUUGGUUGGUAGUAAUAAUUUCAACUAUAAUCAAUUGAGAAUUUACUUUGAUUGAUUAGCUUUUAAUUUGGUUAAGAGAUUUAAGAAUAGACAUAAUUAAACACAAUAAAAUUGAUUGAGAAUGUACUUUGGUUGAAUUUAUUGUGAAUAAUCUCGAAAGGUCUUGCAUUUGAUUGAGAAUGUACUUUGAUUAAUUGCAUGAUCGCCUUCAAAUUAAUUAAGAAUGUACUUUAAUUAAUUUGAAACUUAAACAAUAAUCAAUUGAACAAUGAUCUGUGAAUAACCAAUGAUGAAUUUAUUUUGGAAAAGCAGUGGCAUAACCUGUUUCUUCAUAAUUUUUUUUUAAGUUUCCUCUUUGUUCUACAACAUUCUUUAAACAUUCUCACUUUUACUCAUAAGCAUUGCAUAGCAUUCAUAAGAGUCAGAUAUUCGAAAGCAAUUUUGUGUUCGUUGGGAGACGACUUAGGGUUACUCUAGCCCUAUAUACUUUCUUGAAUACUACUAGGAAAUACUGAAGUUGCCUUGAAAAGUAGUAUUAAUUUGAUAGCUUCAACGACAGCUUAUCAUCUACCAUAUGGAGUACUCAUCAGCAAAAUAUUAAAAAUGCAAAAAGUAGACAUUACAAAUGAAAGAUUCAUACACUGCAUGAAGUAUAAUGUUUUGGGAACUCAUUUUCUAGACUCUGUUGGAUCAUCAAAUUAAGAGGUGAAUGGACAAUGAUUGAUGACAUUCCAUCUACACUUGAAAUGGAUCCUCUAAAAAUUGAUGCAACAGGAUACAAAUUUCAUCCAUCAAGCAUUUUUGAAGGCCAUGUAGACAGAAGGUUUGACCGACUGGAAAACAAAUUAAACCUAAUGCAAGUAUCUCUGUCGGACCUUCAUAAGAAAAUGGAUUAUCCACUCAGAAUAAAAGCCUUUCAAGAAUCAUCCAUUGGUGAUACGGACAGUGGUAUAAACAGUGUUGACAAGAAAAUUGAGGAAUCAUCUGAAUCAGAAUAUCAUUUUGUUUGUCCAGCUAUGUGUUGAAUCCUAGUCUAGAAUUUUCAUCUUGUAUAAUGGCUUAUUGUGCCAUCUUUUGUUCUGUUUUGAUUUCCUUGUUUCUAUCCCACCAUUGUAAUAUCCUUUUGUUCAAGGAAAUGAAAUUAGUUAUUUUGAAUCAAUCCAAUUACUUAAUCUAUUUGAAUGAUAUCUGAUAUACUGGUUGAUUGAUUCGACUAUGCUCUGUUUGAAGUCAACUUUGCUUAAUCUGUCAUGCAUCUUUACAUAUUGACUUCUAUUAUGAUAUGAUUUAAUUCUUACUUAACCAUUAUUGCUUGAUCUAGAAAAGGUUGUUGAAAGGUUUUGCAGGAAGGACAUUGCUUUGGACAUCUACAAUUGGACUUCAACAUUUGCAAAAGCAAUGAAUUCGACUGAUGAUUUAAAGCAUUCGACGGUGUCUAAAUGGGUUAGCAAUUCCAUUUAUGGAAUUUGAUUCUAUCCUUACUGUUUGCUAAAAUCAUGAUUAAUCUACUAUUAUCUCUGAUUUUAUCUGUUUCAAUAUCUGAAUUGAGAUAAUGUUGUGAGAUUGUUGAUGUUUGUAUCAUUGCAUAUAUAUGUGGUUUGAUAUUCUGACUAUGAUACAAAUAUGUGCUUAAACUGUUGAUAAAUCUGUGAUAUUCUGUAUUAUGCACUUAAAUUAAUUUUGAAACUCAUGCAUAAUGACAGGGGGAGUAUCACUGUUUUUUACAUUGUUUCAUCACACACCUACAUUUCAGGGGGAGUUUAUACUGUGUUUUGUGAUGAACUUGUGAUUUUGAGAGCAUCAUUGUACUUUACAAAUUACAUACUUUACUGAUGCAUCUCUGUGCUUUUCAAAUCUUCAUAAAUAUCUAAAACAUUCCUUUUUUGUUAAUGCACAAAGGGGGAGAGAUUUAUAUGAGUGUAGGAGAGCAAGUUUAUAUGAUUUUUGAAAGGGGGAGAAUAUCUGUCUCAUACUAUAUUUGUGAUAACGGUUGAAAAACAAUUAUUUUCAUAUGUCAAUAGAGACCAAAUUACACCCUUUAAGACUUAGAACGAGCUUAGAAUCAAGCAAAACACAUAAAUUGAGUCAGUCAAGAGUCAAAAGUUGUUUUUAACUAUAUUAUGCUUGUUUUGCAUUAUUUUGUAGCAUCUUUGAUGAAAGAGAAGAAUGGGAUGGAAGAUGAAGGUCUUAGACUCAAGAAGGAAGAAGAAAAAUGAACAGAAGAAGAGUAUAGGAACCGCCCAGCGCCAAAAUCCACCGUUGGGCGGCCAAAUGCGAGGAGAAGCCACUGUCUGACUCCCCGGCGAUGACGCUGGGCGAUUUUGCGGUAAAAGGCAAACCGCUGGGCGAUUUUGCGGGAAAAGGUAAACUGUUGGGCGGUGGAACCCACCGCUGGGCGGUGGUGCGACUAUGGGCAAACCGUCUGGCGGCAUAAGUGUGUGAUGAGUCAUUAUGUCUUGAACUGUAUUUAGUUUAUUGCAGUUAAAUAAACCAAGGAAUUGUGUUUAAUUGUCUAUUAUUUCGCCAUUUUCCGAAUUCUGCUUAUUUUUGUAGGAAAUUCGUAAUUGUGCUAAUUUGGAUUUUCUAAGCUGAUUAAGUGCAUUUUUGGUUGCAGGAAAAUUUUGGGAAACAUCAUUUGGAGCAUUAGGAUGGUGGUUUGCACAUUAAAGACUCAACAUUUAGUCAUUUCAAUUUUAAAUAAAUUGUAAUUUAGUUGAUUAGGAACUUUAAAUAAGCUUUUAUGCAUUGGGCCAACGUUGGCAAAUUUCAUGAUGGGCCCAAACUUUGAGGGACACUUGGCAUAGACUUUAGGGUUUUCUUGGAGGUGGACCCCACCAUUUUUUGGGUGUGGGACGGCUUUGAAGGGCAAUUACCGAGACACACCCUUCUAAGCUCCAACAUUUUCAUUUUGCAUGGUUUCUCAUGAACUCUCUCUUGGGAGCUUGUAGGGUUUUACAUUUUUGAGCAUGGAAUGAACAAAGAAUGCAUUUUUCUUCUUCUCUUGCUUGAGUCUUGUUUAUCUUUGGUUGGUGAAAGUGAAUCCCUAACCCAUUUCCUUUUUAUUUCUUGUUCCUUGAAGUUGAGAGCAUGAGCUUGAGUCUUGAGGUUUCUCCUUGCAUUUUCAUGGUGGGUCUUUGGUUUGAAUAAAGAGAUUUUGCGUUUUGCUUCCCUAUUUGCUGCAGUAUUUUCGUUUUCCAUUUAGUUUCCUUGGUUGGAUGAUGAAAAGGAAGUUCUUGUUGAGUUUUGUAGUGAGGGAAGUUUGAGUUGGUGCAUGGGUGUUUGAUGUUUGGACCCUUUUCUUCUNNNNNNNNNNNNNNNNNNNNNNNNNNNNNNNNNNNNNNNNNNNNNNNNNNNNNNNNNNNNNNNNNNNNNNNNNNNNNNNNNNNNNNNNNNNNNNNNNNNNNNNNNNNNNNNNNNNNNNNNNNNNNNNNNNNNNNNNNNNNNNNNNNNNNNNNNNNNNNNNNNNNNNNNNNGCAAUUGAAACCUUGGGGUAUCUUGAGUGUAUUCUCGGUUUAGAAGGGUGGAGAAAGGUUUUGGAAGCUUGUUUGGUGGAGGAAAACCGAAAAUGCGUGUAGUAAGGAGAGAGAAAUGCACAUUUAAUUUUUUACCUCAUUUUGCCAUGCACAAUAUGAAGCACAUUUACCAUAGAAAGAAUAUUUCCCUUUUGGUCUUGACCCUUUGCUAGAUUGACGUGAAUUGCAUUGAAGAAGAGGAUGGUUGUGUUUGUUUUUAUUCCCUUUGACUUUACACAUGUGGCACCUUGGUAGAAGAGAUUAAAGCACCUUUUCGAGUGUGGAAUUUGGAAGGCAACGUUUGCAACCUUGGAGGAAGUUUAGUCUCGGCAAUUUGGCUUUGGAAGGGUGUUGAUUUCCGAACUUGGACUUUUGGGAGAGAGAAAAGCAUGGUUUUCACAAUAAAAUAGAAGGCACAUGUUUUCUUGGAGAAUGAAGCACAUGGGACAAAAUAAGGCAACAUAUGAAUGGUUUAUUUGAAGAAAGAAAGGGGCAUUUUGGUUGGAGGGCUGCACCUUACGGCCCAAGGGGUUUUGUUAAGCCAUUUGCACUUUUAAUUUCAUUUGGUAGAUGAAUAUUGGUCACAUGAAUGUGUAGGAAAAAGCAUGUUUAAUUAUUCCUUUGUUUUGCAUUAAUUUUCAUAGUAGGAUUAGUUGCUUUUAGUUUUUCUAAUUUAGUUUUGCAUUUUAAUUAAUUUAACUUUGUUAGGUAGUUGUUUGUUGCCUUGUUUGGGUCUAGUAUUUUAUUUUAUUUUGUUUUAAUGUUGUCUAAUAUGUUUGGUAGCGAUAAUUUAACUGUCAUGUAGUUUAGGUUAGUUAGUUGGUCAUUAAUAAAAUUACUUUGUUUCCUUGAGAUUUCUUGGACUGUUCUUGUGUUUAUUCUGCUCUGCCUGAUACUCUAUGAAAUCUGACUGUGUUCUUGCAAUGGGCAUAUGCUUAGUUGCCCAAUUGGUGAUUGUACCUUCGCUUAGUUGGUCGAUCUGUAUAGAACACAUAGGAUGGAAUAGAUGUAUUGCGUUCGCCUAGUUCGUAAUUAUGAUAGCAUGAUUAGCCUUCGCUUAGUCGGUUAGUUGUGCUGGAUUAGAGGCUAGAGUAGUUUAUUCAUGAGACUCGUGCACUUUAAUUGCCUUAUUGCUGCUCUGAUUAGGCUCAAUAUUUAAUCUGUUGUGUGCUUGCGAUUGGGUAUACGCUUAGUUGCCUAAUCGGUGUUUAAUCUUCGUUUAGUUGAUUAGACUGUAUGGUGAAUGACUGAUUAGAUUUGAGUAUUGCAUUCGCUUAGUUUGCAAUUUUGAAGACUGAAUUAGCCUUCGCUUAGUUGGGUGAUUCGUGUUGGAUUUGGAUUAGAGUAGUGUGUACAUGUCGUUGAUCUGGGAUAGGAAACAUUGUAAUUAAGUUAAUGACCAACCGUCUCCAGUCUGUCUUUGAACCUGUUUUUAGAUUUGUGUUUGCAUUUCCGUUUGCGUCAGUGUUUUGAUUUUAUUCAUCCGCAUUCACAAACUUUUCAACAACCCCCCCACUUCUUGUCUGACCUAAUUUUUGAACCACAUUUUGGUCCUUGAGAGACGACCUAGGAGUCACUUCCUAGCUAUACUGCAUUUCUUAUAUGCUCAUUAAAUUUUGCAUGGGGUGCGACCUCCAUCAAAUUUUGGCGCCGUUGUCGAGGACCAACGGUUCGGUUUUAGGUCUUUGUUGUGUUAGUGUGUGUUUGGUUUUGUCUCGUGUUGUGAGUGUGUCAUUUUGUUUGUGUGGUGUCAUGUGUUGUUUCAUUUAGGUAGCUUUAGUUGCAUUCUUCUUUUCCCCCUUUCUUUCUACAUGUCCACCUAUUUUGGUUAUCUGGAUAUUACUUCUUCUGCCUAUGCCUAUGAUUAUGAUUAUACUCCUGCAUGUUACUCUGAUUAUGGUUCUCUUGCUGAUUUUUAUGCUGAGAACAAUAUGACUCAUCCUCUGACUCAUGAGAGUGCUCUUUGGGAUCCGGUUACACAUAAUGAGGAUGAUGUUCAUUGCGUUCUCACUUCUGGACUGAUACAUUUGCUGCCUAAGUUUCAUGGUUUUAUAGGUGAAUGCCCAUAUGAUCAUUUGGAGAGGUUCCAACUCAUUUGCUCUGUAAUGAAACCUCCACAUGUCCCGGAUGGUCGCAUUUUCUUAAGGGCAUUCCUACAUUCAGUAGAAGAAGCAACAUGGGAGUGGCUUAUUCAUCUUCCACCAGAAUUCAGGGCUAAGUGGGAAGAUCUUAAGCAUUUAUUUUUGGACAGAUUCUCCCCUACUCAACAUCAUUUUGAUUCAUAUAGCAACGAUCCUAGGAGGAAUGAUCGUAACCUGGGAUGGUAUGGUACUUCACAGUGUCAAUAUCAAGAACCACCAUUCUAGACUCCUUGUAUGCCUUCUCAACCAGUCCAGGACCUACAACAGAUGCAGUUUUAUGAGCCUGCCCAAGCAAUUCCUUAUCCUUCCACUACUUCUGAGCCUACAUUUGAGGAGUUAUUGAGGUAGAUGGCCAUGUAGAACGUUCAGUUCAUGCAAGAGACCAAAGCGUCAAUUCACAGUUUGAGCUACCAGUUGGGGCAGAUGGCCACUCAGUUCAUUCAAGAGCAGUCUCAAGAUUCAGAGUUACAUUCUCAAACUGUUCAGAAUUUGGAAAAUGAUGUCAGUGUCGUCGACCUAGGAGAUAGGAACCAGAGUCUUGUGCUUUUUAUGCCAUCUACUUUCCCACCUUCCUAUGACCCUACUCUUGCACCCGAGGAGAUAGAUCCUGAUGAAAAUUUUGAGGGCCAGGCAGAUAUGACCAGAUAUUCUAAGCUUGGUGGACUUUAUUCGUCUUCCACGACUGGAAGAGAUUUACUGGUAAAUCCUCCCUUCCUUGAUCCAGUUGUGGAAGACAUCUCUCUUUUAGAUCAAAUAUGGCGGAUGAAGCAGUUUCCCAGAAGCAAUUACUACUUAGACCCAAUGAUGGAAAACACUUCUCUACUGGUUCAAAAUUUUCAACUGCCGCCCUAACUCAGGGGAGUCUUCUUUUUCCUUUCUCCCCCUUUCCCUGCUUAUUUUUCACUUGUCCAUGAUAUGUUGACUGUUCUGAUUUCUGAUCUUAUGAUUGUGACACAUUGAGGACACUGUGUAUUUUAAGUGUGGUCUAUUGGGGGAGACUCUGAUUUUUCUUUGUUAGUUUAUGUUUUCUGCGUUAAAUUUUUUGUUUUCUAGGUAGUUUUUGUUGUGUCUUGUGUACAGUUUUGCAUGUUUCUCUUGAUUUCUGGACUUUGUUUAGGUUGUACACUUGUCUUUCACUUUAUUGAUACUCUGAUUUGUUGGAAAUCCUUACUUUUCUUUGCUUAGAAAGAUGAUUAUGAUGUUUGAGAGGUUGAUUGUUUGUGACAGAAAUACCCUGUGUGAGAAUUAAGCCACUUGAUAUUCUUUCUUGUGUGUGAUAUGUCUCUUCAUUGCUUGCACAUAUGCCUUGGCUUGACUCCUUUUGAUGUUUCUUGAUUGAUAUGCAUGUUUAGAAGUGAUAAAGGCAAUUUUGUUGUUGAACCUCUCUAGCCAGAUGAGCCUACCUUGUUGUGAUCCAUUGAUAACCCUUUUGAGCCUAUGCUUUCCCCAUUUCUUUGUUUUGAAACUCAUACACUAGCCCUAAGUGAAAAACCAUUAUUACCUUAACCUUAGGGAAUUUUGGAGCUUUGGAAUUGUUUUGGGAAAGAGUGUGGUCUCUUGGGAUAUUCAAAUGAAUUGGCUAGUUGGUUCCUCUUCUUGUUUUUGUUUUUGUAAAUAUGUUUUGUACAUCUUGUCCCUGAGUUGUGUUUUGAAAAGAGAGAAAAGAAAAGAGACAAGAUGAGAGAAAAAAAAAAUAGAGAAGAAUGAAAAAAAAUUGUGAAUAAUGUGUUAACAGAUUGACAAGCGUACCAAAUCGUAUCAAGUAAUAAUAAAUGGUAAGUCCAAGUAUCGUUUUCCCAAAAGACUCGAAAGGCCUUAUCGUUCGUGUGAAUUAAAAUCGUACGACUUGGAAAUAAGAAUUAAUUAAUUGGAUGUGCGAAUAAAAUAUAAACAUGUAAAAGAGAUUCAUUCAAUUGACAAGAAGAAAACAAUGGAUGAAUGGAGUUGUUGGGGGUUUACAAUUUCAUCUUAUCCGCUCUCUCUUAUUUACUCCUCUUGAAUUAUUAGAUUGAUUAAUUAAUUGUCAUGCAACUUUCUUAGCCUACCCUUAACCCGAUCCCUCGAUGAAAAGAACCUAUUACUAAUUACUGGCUUGCUAUCCCUAGCCUCCCCUAGCAAUUAAUAAAGCAUUAUAGAGCUGAAGUUAAAAACAAUUGAUCGUUCUACCCCUAUCCCUAGGUCGUAUUGCUUAAUCAAGGAAUUACUCACUAGUUCAUGACAUUACUGUACGUCCCCGUAUCAAUAAAGACAAACAACAGUUAUCGAAUGAGUUAAACGAUAAAAGCAUUAAGCAAAGAUGAGAACCCAACAAUUAACAAUCAAAGCAUAUGGACACCAUAUAAAUAAACAAGAGUUUCAAUAAAAGAGAGUAUCAAAAGAUUAUUUUGUUUCCCCCAACAAUGGAAAAGCAAACCCAAGAUAAGAUGAAAAGGAGCCUAAGCAUCCAAGAGAUCCUCUCCAGAGAGUGAAAUUAGGUCUGGCCGCCCCCUUCUGUCAAAAGAAUGCAUCUAAACUCGGAAUAGGGCUAUUUAUAGGUGAGGAGCGCAACAGAAAACAGGCCCAAGCCCAGUAUACAACCGCCCGACGGAACAAGUGUGGCGCCCGGCGGUUUCCCUCUAAUCGCAAAUUUGCCUAGCGCCCAUGCCAGGUGCCUACUCCUCGCCCUGGACCGCCCGGCGGUGGAAUAUGCCGCCGGGCGGUGCGUCGACUCUUCACUUCUUCAAUUUUCUCCUCUUUUCUUGAGUCUACGACCUUUAUCUUCAACUCCAUUCUUCACUUUCUCAUAAAUGCUACAAAACAAUGCAAAACAAGCAUAAUAUCGCUAAAAACAGCUUUUGACUCUCUACAAACUCAUUUAUUGAGUUUUGAUUUAUUCUAAGCUCAUUCUAAGUAGUAAAGGGAGUAAUUUGGUCUAAAAUGACAUAUGAAAAUAACUGUUUUUCAACCUUCAUCAUAAUGGAGUCAAUAAGAGGAUUGAAUUAGAGGUUUUGGGUGUGUGUGAAUGUGUUUACACUUGUUCCCCAUUGCUCCUCUAUUCUUUUUAGUUUGUAGCUUCUUAUCCAUAUGGUAUCCUCCCUUGUUCUUGGCCCCAUUAUAACCAUGAAAAGACCUUUUGAUUCGAACAUGCAUAUGUGUUUAAGUGUUGACAUUAGAGGCUUGCCAAGUCUGUUUGUGUUUGUUUUCUUGAGUGCAUUGAGUUGACAUUGUUUACCCUAGACAUUUGAGAGAAACACUGAUAGUGUGCAUCUGUGAGGCUCUAUUCUUUUGAUUCAUCUCUUGAACUGAUUGAUCAUUUUGUCAUGCCUUGAGCUGCUUGGAUGAUUUCAUGAGUAUCUGUUUUCCUUUCUUGUGUGUUGGAUACUGUCCACUUCCUUUCACUGUCCAUAUUUCUUGAUAAUUGUGCAAAUCUGUUUUUGAUUUGUGAGUCUUUGUUGUCUGUCUGUCGAGUCUGUGUCACCUCCCUGAUGUUUGAGUAGUUCCCUGGUUUUGCCUAGGAGUGCAAAAGACUAAGUCUGGUCUAUUUUGAUGAGUCAUUAUUUCUUGAACUGUAUUUAGUUUAUUGCACUUAAAUAAACCAGGGAAUUGUGUUUAAUUGUGUGUUAUUUCCCCAUUUUUCGAAUUCUGCUUAAUUUGGUCAGAAAUUCGUAAUUGUGCUAAUUUGGAUUUUCUGAGCUGAUUAAGUGCAUUUUUGGUUGCAGAAAAUUUUUGAGAAACAUCAUUUGGAGCAUUAGGAUGGUGGUCUGCACAUUAAAGACUCAACAUUUAGUCAUUUCAAUUUUAAAUAAAUUGUAAUUUAGUUGAUUAAGAACUUUAAAUAAGCUUUUGUGCACGUUGGCCAAUUUUGGCAAAUUUCAUGAUGGGCCCAAACUUUGAGGGACACUUGGCAUAGACUUUAGGGUUUUCUUGGAGGUGGAUCCCACCAUUUUUAGGGUGUGGGACGAUUUUGAAGGGCAAUUGCCGAGACACAUACUUCUAAGCUCCAACAUUUUCAUUUUGCAUGGUUUCUCAUGAACUCUCUCUUGGGAGCUUGUAGGGUUUUACGUUUUUUAGCACGGAAUGAACAAAGAAUGCAUUUUUCUUCUUCUCUUGCUUGAGUCUUGUUUAUCUUUGGUUGGUGAAAGUGAAUCCCUCACCCAUUUCCUUUUUAUUUCUUGUUCCUUGAAGUUGAGAGCAUGAGCUUGAGUCUUGAGGUUUCUUCAUGCAUUUUCAUGGUGGGUCUUUGGUUUGAAUGAAGAGCUUUUGCGUUUUGCUUCCCCAUUUGCUGCAGUAUUUUUGUUUUCCAUUUAGUUUCCUUGGUUGGAUGAUGAAAAGGAAGUUCUUGUUGAUUUUUGCAGUGAGGGAAGUUUGAGUUGGUGCAUGGGUGUUUGAUGUUUGGACCCUUUUCUUCUUGUGCUUUUGUUUGAUGAUUGGGAGCAAUAUUUUGAGCUGAACUUUGUGCUAUUUACUCAUGGCUGGACGGUCUACACUUGGUGUCUAGGGAUUCCAUUUUGUUUUUCAUAAAAGUUUGAAGAAAAGUGAGUGUUGGGUUGGUUUGUAGUAGUAGAACUUGGCUUUGUUGUUCUUGAUUCACUUUGCAAUUGAAACCUUGGGGUAUCUUGAGUGUAUUCUCGGUUUAGAAGGGUGGAGAAAGGUUUUGGAAGCUUGUUUGGUGGAGGAAAACCGAAAAUGAGUGUAGUAAGGAGAGAGAAAUGCACAUUUAAUUUUUUACCUCAUUUGGCCAUGCACAAUAUGAAGCACAUUUACCAUAGAAAGAAUAUUUCCCUUUUGGUCUUGACCCUUUGCUAGCUUGAGGUGAAUUGCAUUCAAGAAGAGGAUGGUUGUGUUUGUUUUUAUUCCCUUUGACUUUGCACAUGUGGCACCUUGGUAGAAGAGAUUAAAGCACCUUUUGGAGUGUGGAAUUUUGAAGGAAACGUUUGCAACCUUGUAGGAAGUUUGGUCUCGGCAAUUUGGCUUUGGAAGGGUGUUGAUUUCCGAACUUGGACUUUUGGGAGAGAGAAGAGCAUGGUUUUCACAAUAAAAUAGAAGGCACAUGUUUUCUUGGAGAAUGAAGCACAUGGGACAAAAGAAGGCAACAUAUGAAUGGUUUAUUUGAAGGAAGAAAGGGGCAUUUUGGUUGGAGGGUGAUGGGUGUCGCGGCCCAUACAAAUUUGAUUACAUAUGAGAAAUGCAGUACAGCUAGGAAGUGACUCCUAGGUCGUCUCUCAAGGACCAAAUUCGGUUUGAAUCUUAGGUCUAACACAUAGUGGGCGGGAUUUUGAAAGUGUUUUUGCAAGUAGAAUUAACUUAAAUUAAAACUGAAAAGGAAAUACAAUCAAACAUAAUUGAAAACAUUGAAAUUUAAUUAAAAUGCAACGAAUAAUAAAAAAAAAUACUUGACUAAAAAUUAAAUGCAUAUUGUAGGAACUUUCAAAGCCAUCCAUUAGGGAAACAAUAAA
RNAcentral lists this long non-coding RNA (16681 nucleotides) under Vigna radiata. Its description in RNAcentral is "long non-coding RNA (VRAD_LNC002625)". Lineage: Eukaryota; Viridiplantae; Streptophyta; Magnoliopsida; Fabales; Fabaceae. The record is from RNAcentral.